GAUGAACGCUGGCGGCGUGCCUAAUACAUGCAAGUCGAGCGAACAGACGAGGAGCUUGCUCCUUUGACGUUAGCGGCGGACGGGUGAGUAACACGUGGAUAACCUACCUAUAAGACUGGGAUAACUUCGGGAAACCGGAGCUAAUACCGGAUAAUAUAUUGAACCGCAUGGUUCAAUAGUGAAAGACGGUUUUGCUGUCACUUAUAGAUGGAUCCGCGCCGCAUUAGCUAGUUGGUAAGGUAACGGCUUACCAAGGCAACGAUGCGUAGCCGACCUGAUAGGGUGAUCGGCCGCACUGGAGCUGAGACACGGACCAGGCUCCUACGGGAGGCAGCAGAAGGGAAUCUUCCGCAAUGGGCGAAAGCCUGACGGAGCAACGCCGCGUGAGAGAUGGAGGUCUUCGGAUCGUAAAACUCUGUUAUUAGGGAAGAACAAAUGUGUAAGUAGCUAUGCACGUCUUGACGGUACCUAAUCAGAAAGCCACGGCUAACUACGUG
RNAcentral lists this ribosomal RNA (497 nucleotides) under uncultured bacterium. RNAcentral describes it as "partial 16S ribosomal RNA". It matches the Rfam family "Bacterial small subunit ribosomal RNA", at positions 28 to 507 of the family's 1533-position model. The record is from RNAcentral.